This 482-nucleotide ribosomal RNA is filed under the name uncultured bacterium. RNAcentral's name for it is "partial 16S ribosomal RNA". It matches the Rfam family "Bacterial small subunit ribosomal RNA", at positions 30 to 507 of the family's 1533-position model. The record is from RNAcentral.
AUUGAACGCUGGCGGCAUGCCUUACACAUGCAAGUCGAACGGUAACGGGCCUUCGGGUGCCGCCGAGUGGCGAACGGGUGAGUAAUACAUCGGAACGUGCCCGAUCGUGGGGGAUAACGAGGCGAAAGCUUUGCUAAUACCGCAUACGACCUACGGCGGACAGCGGGGGACCGCAAGGCCUUGUGCGGACGGAGCGGCCGAUGGCAGAUUAGGUAGUUGGUGGGAUAAAAGCUUACCAAGCCGACGAUCUGUAGCUGGUCUGAGAGGAUGAUCAGCCACACUGGAACUGAGACACGGCCCAGACUCCUACGGGAGGCAGCAGUGGGGAAUUUUGGACAAUGGGCGCAAGCCUGAUCCAGCCAUGCCGCGUGCGGGAUGAAGGCCUUCGGGUUGUAAACUGCUUUUGUACGGAACGAAAAGCAUUCUUUUAAUACAGGGGGGUCAUGACGGUACCGUAAGAAUAAGCACCGGCUAACUACGUG